Molecule: long non-coding RNA, 256 nt
Organism: Dermacentor silvarum
Lineage: Eukaryota; Metazoa; Arthropoda; Arachnida; Ixodida; Ixodidae
Exons: 3
Source: RefSeq, a predicted model, not a curated record
GCAUGCUGCGACAAGGUAUGGCUGGGCCUGGUGAUGAAGUGUAAGCAGAACAUGCUAUGCUGCGAAUUGGUGCCAAUCUUCACAUCCGAGUUGUUCCCACGACAGUCAAGCACCACUGUGAUUUGCUUCAUUGGCAAGGUGCCCUGCAAGCUCUCACCAAAGCAACACAUUCCACUGGUUUUCUGUCAGAGUACCAUUAUAGAAUUUCGAAUAAACUAUGCUUGUCAGAUGUGUGACAUGCCCCGUCUUAAAAUAA